GACGAACGCUGGCGGCGCGCCUAACACAUGCAAGUCGAACGAGCGAGAGAGAGCUUGCUUUCUUGAGCGAGUGGCGAACGGGUGAGUAACGCGUGAGGAACCUGCCUCAAAGAGUGGUACAACAGUUGGAAACGACUGCUAAUACCGCAUAAGCCCACGGUUCCGCAUGGCACAGAGGGAAAAUGAGCACUACGCUUUGGGAUUGCCUCGCUUCCGAUUAGCUUGUUGGUGAGGUAACGGCCCACCAAGGCCACGAUUGGAAGCCGGAUAGGGAGGUUGAACGGCAACAUUGGGACUGAGACACGGUCCAGAAGCUUGGGGGAAGCAGGAGAGGGGAAUAUAGCAAAAGGGGGGAAGCCAUGAAGGAGCGACGCCGCGUAGAGGAAGAAGGUCGGAGGGUAGUAAACUACGGUUGUAGGGGAAGAUAAUGAAGGUACCCAAAAAGGAAGUAACGGCUAACUACGUG
This 466-nucleotide ribosomal RNA is filed under the name uncultured bacterium. RNAcentral describes it as "partial 16S ribosomal RNA". It matches the Rfam family "Bacterial small subunit ribosomal RNA", at positions 28 to 507 of the family's 1533-position model. The record is from RNAcentral.